CUCCUGUGUCACUCCAGAGCCUUCCACUGUUCUCCAGUUCUAUCUGCUUUAUCCCCUGGCCCUCACCUGUAACAGCACAAACUGACAAAUAAUGGACCAGGCCGAUGAAUUACUCCAGCUGAUUCAGUAUUUAGUAUGGUUUUAGGACUUGUAGCUGAGUCCCACUUAAGUGGUUCUCACAGUGUAACAGUGUAACUACCUGCCUACUAGCCUCUUGUCAGCUCCAGUGUCGGCUAGUCACCAGGCUGCUUGUUUCCAGUCAGCUCCAGUGUUUUCUAGCCGUCAGCCGGCAAACCUCCCACCAGCUCCAGGGCCCACUGGUCUCCAGCGUACGACUGUUGACACCUUAGACCAGCCCCAAGUGUCUCCUUUCUGGGGAAACCGCCUCGCCUACAGGGUGCCUCCGCGAAGACCACAUCCUGACUCCCUGACAUCUGGCUGCCUCGUCUACUUUUCUUCACUGCUGCCCAGGUGCUAGCCUUCGCCACUGCCCAGUGCCCAAGAGCAAGCCAACACCUGCCAGUGGUCCUCUGUUGGUUUGGUGUAAAUUUGGUAUUAGUAUCUUAUAAUUUUGACACCCUUGACUAUGUUCAUAUUUUCCAACCUGUUUCAAUUCCUGUCCAAAAUGUAUUUCCAUAGCUAUCGACUGCUAAUGUUAAUGUUAAAAAUACCUCUGCUCAACCAGAUAUGGACACGUUGCUGUUUUCUCUGCUCUCAGUGCAUCAGCUGUAAAUGGCCUAUCACAGGGAGGAACGCUAAAAGACCUGCAGGCCAGAGGUGCUUUCCACACUUUAAGCAAAUCAACAAACCUAAAAACACAUCAGGGUAAACAACACCUUUCCCAGCACUGUCCUGCUGUAUAGAGAGGGGCUAAUGACAUGUCUACACCAUGAUGAUGCCUGUUCUUCACAGCAUGGCUCAGUGCAAGUACCUGGCUGGGAGGAACGUAUACUUGAUUGACUUUAAUCUCAUUACACACCAGUGUAUAUAAAUGUUUUUAUCAUUUGACGGCAGCACCAUUUCAGUGCUUCACUAGGGUAUGUUUUAUGUGCUUGCAAUAUUAAUAAAAAUCACUGCAUACUUUGGAUAAAACAACUUCAA
Long non-coding RNA from Acanthopagrus latus (yellowfin seabream), 1101 nucleotides. RefSeq lists it as uncharacterized. The record is from RefSeq and is a predicted model, not a curated record. Lineage: Eukaryota; Metazoa; Chordata; Actinopteri; Spariformes; Sparidae. The transcript is spliced from 2 exons.